ACCCCGCGGGGGUAACACCACCGGCUGCGUGAGAGGAUACCCCCGGUGAACCCUCAAAUUCUCCCGGGAACACAGGGGUAUUACUCAACAGGGGACACCCAUGACCCCCCCCGGGGAGAGAAGAAGAAGAGGAGGGAGAAACCCCUACAGAGAGAAAAGCUCCCGGUCCCUUGGAAGAAACACCCCCCGGCAAUCCCCGGCCCAAGACCCCUGUAAAAACCGGGAGGGCCCAAACCUUAACUGGGGAAACCACGGGGCUUAAAACGACAAUUAACCGGUUGUUAAAAGCUAGAAAGUGAAAACCCUACCGGCUUCAACCCCGGGAACACCUUCUAAAACCGGAAAACCAGAAUCCGGGAGAGGAAAAGGAAAUAAUAACAAAGAGGUAAAACCCGUAGAGAUUCACCAGGAAUCCCGAAAACCCGAAAGCCGAUCUUCGGAAACAGGACUGACCCUUGAGAUCCGAAAACCUUGGGGACCAAAACAGGAUAGAUACCCUGGUAAGUCCACGCCCUAAACGAUGAAUGUUAGUCGUUGGAGUGCUAGCCACUUCAGUGAUGCAGCUAACGCAUUAAACAUUCCGCCUGGGGAGUACGGCCGCAAGGUUAAAACUCAAAGGAAUAGACGGGGACCCGCACAAGUGGUGGAGCAUGUGGUUUAAUUCGAAGAUACGCGAAGAACCUUACCUGGCCUUGACAUAUACCAGAAUCUGCCAGAGAUGGUGGAUGCCUUCGGGAGCUGGUAUACAGGUGCUGCACGGCUGUCGUCAGCUCGUGUCGUGAGAUGUUGGUUAAGUCCCGCAACGAGCGCAACCCUCGUGACUAGUUACUAACAGCAUAGGCUGAGGACUCUAGUCAGACGCCUUCGUAAGGAGGAGGAAGGUGAGGACGACGUCAAGUCAUCAUGGCCCUUACGGCCAGGGCGACACACGUGCUACAAUGGGAAGGACAAAGAGAAGCAAAACUGUGAGGUGGAGCAAAUCUAUAAACCUUCUCUCAGUUCGGAUUGCAGUCUGCAACUCGACUGCAUGAAGCUGGAAUCACUAGUAAUCGUGAAUCAGCCAUGUCACGGUGAAUACGUUCCCGGGUCUUGUACUCACCGCCCGUCACACCAUGGGAGUUGAUUUCAC
Molecule: ribosomal RNA, 1129 nt
Filed under: epibiont metagenome
Description: bacterial SSU rRNA
Rfam family: Bacterial small subunit ribosomal RNA (bases 233-1129)
Source: RNAcentral